This 2927-nucleotide ribosomal RNA is filed under the name Citrobacter freundii. RNAcentral's name for it is "23S ribosomal RNA". It matches the Rfam family "Bacterial large subunit ribosomal RNA". The record is from RNAcentral. Lineage: Bacteria; Pseudomonadati; Pseudomonadota; Gammaproteobacteria; Enterobacterales; Enterobacteriaceae.
GGGUUGUGAGGUUAAGCGACUAAGCGUACACGGUGGAUGCCCUGGCAGUCAGAGGCGAUGAAGGACGUGCUAAUCUGCGAUAAGCGUCGGUAAGGUGAUAUGAACCGUUAUAACCGGCGAUUUCCGAAUGGGGAAACCCAGUGUGUUUCGACACACUAUCAUUACGUGAAUACAUAGCGUAAUGAAGCGAACCGGGGGAACUGAAACAUCUAAGUACCCCGAGGAAAAGAAAUCAACCGAGAUUCCCCCAGUAGCGGCGAGCGAACGGGGAGCAGCCCAGAGUCUGAAUCAGCUUGUGUGUUAGUGGAACGGUCUGGAAAGUCCGACGGUACAGGGUGAUAGUCCCGUACACCAAAAUGCACAGGUUGUGAACUCGAAGAGUAGGGCGGGACACGUGGUAUCCUGUCUGAAUAUGGGGGGACCAUCCUCCAAGGCUAAAUACUCCUGACUGACCGAUAGUGAACCAGUACCGUGAGGGAAAGGCGAAAAGAACCCCGGCGAGGGGAGUGAAAAAGAACCUGAAACCGUGUACGUACAAGCAGUGGGAGCCUCUUUAUGGGGUGACUGCGUACCUUUUGUAUAAUGGGUCAGCGACUUAUAUUCUGUAGCAAGGUUAACCGUAUAGGGGAGCCGAAGGGAAACCGAGUCUUAACUGGGCGUUAAGUUGCAGGGUAUAGACCCGAAACCCGGUGAUCUAGCCAUGGGCAGGUUGAAGGUUGGGUAACACUAACUGGAGGACCGAACCGACUAAUGUUGAAAAAUUAGCGGAUGACUUGUGGCUGGGGGUGAAAGGCCAAUCAAACCGGGAGAUAGCUGGUUCUCCCCGAAAGCUAUUUAGGUAGCGCCUCGUGAAUUCAUCUUCGGGGGUAGAGCACUGUUUCGGCUAGGGGGUCAUCCCGACUUACCAACCCGAUGCAAACUGCGAAUACCGAAGAAUGUUAUCACGGGAGACACACGGCGGGUGCUAACGUCCGUCGUGAAGAGGGAAACAACCCAGACCGCCAGCUAAGGUCCCAAAGUCAUGGUUAAGUGGGAAACGAUGUGGGAAGGCACAGACAGCCAGGAUGUUGGCUUAGAAGCAGCCAUCAUUUAAAGAAAGCGUAAUAGCUCACUGGUCGAGUCGGCCUGCGCGGAAGAUGUAACGGGGCUAAACCAUGCACCGAAGCUGCGGCAGCGACACUAUGUGUUGUUGGGUAGGGGAGCGUUCUGUAAGCCGUUGAAGGUGUGCUGUGAGGCAUGCUGGAGGUAUCAGAAGUGCGAAUGCUGACAUAAGUAACGAUAAUGCGGGUGAAAAACCCGCACGCCGGAAGACCAAGGGUUCCUGUCCAACGUUAAUCGGGGCAGGGUGAGUCGACCCCUAAGGCGAGGCCGAAAGGCGUAGUCGAUGGGAAACAGGUUAAUAUUCCUGUACUUGGUGUUACUGCGAAGGGGGGACGGAGAAGGCUAUGUUAGCCGGGCGACGGUUGUCCCGGUUUAAGCAUGUAGGCGGAGGUUCCAGGUAAAUCCGGUACCUUUUAACGCUGAGGUGUGAUGACGAGGCACUACGGUGCUGAAGUAACAAAUGCCCUGCUUCCAGGAAAAGCCUCUAAGCAUCAGGUAACACGAAAUCGUACCCCAAACCGACACAGGUGGUCAGGUAGAGAAUACCAAGGCGCUUGAGAGAACUCGGGUGAAGGAACUAGGCAAAAUGGUGCCGUAACUUCGGGAGAAGGCACGCUGAUAUGUAGGUGAAGUGAUUUACUCAUGGAGCUGAAAUCAGUCGAAGAUACCAGCUGGCUGCAACUGUUUAUUAAAAACACAGCACUGUGCAAACACGAAAGUGGACGUAUACGGUGUGACGCCUGCCCGGUGCCGGAAGGUUAAUUGAUGGGGUUAUCCGUAAGGAGAAGCUCUUGAUCGAAGCCCCGGUAAACGGCGGCCGUAACUAUAACGGUCCUAAGGUAGCGAAAUUCCUUGUCGGGUAAGUUCCGACCUGCACGAAUGGCGUAAUGAUGGCCAGGCUGUCUCCACCCGAGACUCAGUGAAAUUGAACUCGCUGUGAAGAUGCAGUGUACCCGCGGCAAGACGGAAAGACCCCGUGAACCUUUACUAUAGCUUGACACUGAACACUGGUCCUUGAUGUGUAGGAUAGGUGGGAGGCUUUGAAGUGUGGACGCCAGUCUGCAUGGAGCCAUCCUUGAAAUACCACCCUUUAAUGGCUGGUGUUCUAACGUGGACCCGUUACCCGGGUUGCGGACAGUGUCUGGUGGGUAGUUUGACUGGGGCGGUCUCCUCCUAAAGAGUAACGGAGGAGCACGAAGGUUAGCUAAUCCUGGUCGGACAUCAGGAGGUUAGUGCAAAGGCAUAAGCUAGCUUGACUGCGAGAGUGACGGCUCGAGCAGGUGCGAAAGCAGGUCUUAGUGAUCCGGUGGUUCUGAAUGGAAGGGCCAUCGCUCAACGGAUAAAAGGUACUCCGGGGAUAACAGGCUGAUACCGCCCAAGAGUUCAUAUCGACGGCGGUGUUUGGCACCUCGAUGUCGGCUCAUCACAUCCUGGGGCUGAAGUAGGUCCCAAGGGUAUGGCUGUUCGCCAUUUAAAGUGGUACGCGAGCUGGGUUUAGAACGUCGUGAGACAGUUCGGUCCCUAUCUGCCGUGGGCGCUGGAGAAUUGAGGGGGGCUGCUCCUAGUACGAGAGGACCGGAGUGGACGCAUCACUGGUGUUCGGGUUGUCAUGCCAAUGGCAUUGCCCGGUAGCUAAAUGCGGAAGAGAUAAGUGCUGAAAGCAUCUAAGCACGAAACUUGCCCCGAGAUGAGUUCUCCCUGAGACUUUAAGUCUCCUGAAGGAACGUUGAAGACGACGACGUUGAUAGGUCGGGUGUGUAAGUGUAGCGAUACAUUGAGCUAACCGAUACUAAUGAACCGUGAGGCUUAACCUUACAACGCCGAAG